CCUACGGGAGGCAGCAGUGGGGAAUAUUGGGCAAUGGGCGCAAGCCUGACCCAGCAACGCCGCGUGAAGGAAGAAGGCUUUCGGGUUGUAAACUUCUUUUCUCAGGGACGAAGCAAGUGACGGUACCUGAGGAAUAAGCCACGGCUAACUACGUGCCAGCAGCCGCGGUAAUACGUAGGUGGCAAGCGUUAUCCGGAUUUACUGGGUGUAAAGGGCGUGUAGGCGGGAAAGCAAGUCAGAUGUGAAAACCAUGGGCUCAACCUGUGGCCUGCAUUUGAAACUGUUUUUCUUGAGUACUGGGGAGGAAGACGGAAUUCCUAGUGUAGCGGUGAAAGGCGUAGAUAUUAGGAGGAACACCAGUGGCGAAGGCGGUCUGCUGGACAGCAACUGACGCUGAGGCGCGAAAGCGUGGGGAGCAAACAGGAUUAGAUACCCCAGUAGUC
RNAcentral lists this ribosomal RNA (443 nucleotides) under uncultured bacterium. RNAcentral describes it as "partial 16S ribosomal RNA". It matches the Rfam family "Bacterial small subunit ribosomal RNA", at positions 338 to 795 of the family's 1533-position model. The record is from RNAcentral.